UGAAAUUACAUUGAUUCAAGUAUCCAUGUUGACAUCUAUGGCUUGAAUAAUACACAAAACAGAAACUACAGAAGGGUUCCACCCGAGACAUACUCGGUGUAGGCCAACGCAACCAAACCCAACAUCGCAAAUCUACCGUUCCACAUCUCAGCAUCAGAUGUCAUUACGCCCUCUGACCUGGAUUCCGCGCUGACCCCUUUGAAUAGUGGGAUCAAAGACGCGACAGAGAGCAGAAUACUUGUUCCGAGGAACCACGAGACUCCACCGUUAGAUAUCUGAGAAAAAAGGUCUUGGCCCUUGGACAGUUCCACUGCCAUUGCAGCGACAAAGCCUAUCAUGGCAAGCCUGCCAUUGAUCCUCUCUGGUGCGGGUCCGCUAAAUGCGAACAAAUCAAGGAAGUUUGUGCUGACCUGUUAAUCACAGUCAUACGGGCGUUUACAUUAGAAGUGGAAGCAUAAAUGCAAUCACAAAGUCCUUGCUCUACUUAAAUUGUUAAAAUUAAACAUUUCCGAAAUAAAUCCUGUACCUUUGGCUCAGGAGUAGAACCUGACUCUGCUAUCUUCUUGAUCUGGUCACCCUGCAAAUUGAUUCAAAUGUUAACACAAUUAAUCCUAAGAACCAUCACCCAAAGUAUACACACAGGAAGUCGAAAUAGAUUCCAAACUCACCAGCUUGGCCUUGCACUGCACCCGUUUGCUAGCACUGCCACGUAGUCGUGGCACAUACGUCGCAGAAAACAAGUUGCUCACUCGAGACCGGUUUUUCACCAGGCUACUGGCUACUGGAGUUGCAAGGACGGUCUGCAUGACUGUUGAUGUGGCCAUCACUUAAUUAGAAGAAUGUUUAUCACUCGAGCUGUGAUUAAGAAACUUAAUCAAUAUCUAAUCUGUGAAAGCUAUUCUAAUGCUAGAGGCAACGUUCGUAAGGGAUAUCACUACCAGUGAGUUGAAGCUGGAGCUGUUUGCUUUGUAAUGAUAAUUAAUGUAUCUGAUAAUGGUUUGGUAGGCUGUUAUAUAGCCGAUGGGGCAAGAGAGGAGAGGGCGUUUUGCUCCCACGUCAUCUAUAUCUAAUUAAAAAGCUGAUUGGAUCACGUGGCUUCGGGUGUCCUCCACAUGGUCAAGUGGGUUACGUGGCCUCCUCACAGUCACUAGUGGACCCCACCCCAUUUAAGAAUCUGAGGCCAUUGUUGUUCUAGGUUUUUCAGCUGAGCAGCGACCACGGCAUAGUAAUCGAACUGGACUCAGCCACGAUUUUACCGCAUUAAUUUGACACGUUCAAAAUAACACAGCUAAAGUAAAUCGUACUAAUGUAUAAAAUUUUUGCAAUUGGCCGACAUGUUUUUUUUCUUAAAUAUCUUUUUUUAACAUGUGGUUGAUGAUAGAUUGUGUACUUUUAUUGAAUUUUUAUUAAUAUCUAUUGUAUAUUGAUAUUUCACGUCAAGUUUAUUACAACUAAAUGUUUUUUUAGUAAUUCAAAAAUAAUGUUAAAUAAAUUCUAUAAUUAAAAUUUCAAAUAUUUACAUCACAUUAUAACUCAAUCAGAAACUCGAUAAAAAUCAUGUGCAAACCCUCAAUUUUAUUUUAUUUUUUUGCAUUGAUUUAUUUAUUUUUUAGACAAAUCAACUUAUUUAAUUCAUCAUUUUAAAAAAAAAAAUUCUUUUAAAUUUUAGCAAGUCAUUUAACAUUAAUUACUCUAUUAUCUAAUGUCAAUUUACAAUUUAUAUUCUAUAGAUUUGUAAAUGGAGAAAUAUCAAUUUUUUAUUCACAUCUCUCUCCAUAUAUUUGAAUUGAUUAUAGAUUUAUUUCCCAUUAAAACUUCUAAUGAGAAAAAAAAACAAAAAAAAAACACAAAAUAAUGCAUCUUAUGUUUAAUCAAGACACAAAACUCAACAACAAGAAUAUAGAGAGAAAUGACAUUAAUAUUUAAAAUAAAUAGAUAAAUAUUUUGAAGGUAUUUUAUUGUCAUUGCACGGGAGGACCCGGUUUUUUCAGAAGGCUACAAGAUAGCAUUUUCAUAACGUUGCAUUAAAGAAAAUUAUUCAAUUAUUAAUUAGUUACAUGUUUCAAAUUUAAGAUGAUAACUUUGAAUCUAAUUGCAUUUUUAUGUGACCUUCCACCUAAUUUCUUUCCCCUUAUGGAUUCCGAAUCUAAGAAAAGCCUAGACUAUUAGUUGUACUCGAUUGACCACUUCACAAAAUUGCGACAAAAUCCAAAACAAUUUAUGCUUUCCAUUGGUCAUGGUUAUGGCUCUCGGUAAGAGUUGCUUCUACAUUAGAUUUCCACAAGUUCAUUUAUUAAAAAAAGAUCUUUAUAGUUUUUUUGCACUGAUUUCAUUGAACAAGAAGAUAUAUUUUACUUUGUGGAGAACAAUUUAAAAGUAUCGUUUUCGGCGAGUAAAUUAAACAAAUAGAUGGUGAGUAUAAAGCUGGGGAGAAAAUGAUAGGAAUGGAAAAUCAAACCCAAUUAAUUUGCUAAUAUAGAAGGGAAUUUUGUUCGAUCUAAUUUGACAUUAUCAGUAUCAUUUAAACGAUAAUCAAAGGAUCAUGCUUGCAGUCGUUGCUAAUAAAGAAGGAGAAAGAUACAAUGUUAUAACAAGACGUUUAAUAAAACUAACAUGAUUUAUGUCAAAACAGAGAGCACAAAAAAAGGAGACAAUAAAAGGCAGACGAAGUAAAGGAAAAAAAAAAAAGUGUUUUGAGAGAGAAAGAGUGGUAGCAUGGGUUGGUGCUAGGGUUGAGAAAGGGCAAAUAGGAGUAAAUUAAUGCUAUAUUUUUUUCAAAUUUAUAAAAUCAAUCCGAGUUUAUUGAUUUUGACUGAGUUUAUUGAGUCAAAUUUAAUUUUACAAGUUUUCAAGUUUUUAGUUUGAUUUUGCAUAUUUGAUAAAUGUUGACUCGUAAAAUCGUAUGAUUUUACGAGUUAACUCAUGGUGUUAAUAAAAUUGCUUAUGAUUCUUUCGUAUUUUAUAUUUGUUUUUUAUGUUUUAAAUACUUGAUAAUUAAAAUUGUAAGUUUUAUAAAAUUUUAAGCAAAAGUAAGUUUGUGAUUUAUAACACAAUGUAUGUAUUUUAUGUAAAAUCAUUUUUUAAAGAGAAAAUUAUCCUGAGUAUCCUAUAGUUUACUUAAUUUAACACUUUGUUUUUAUUAUUUUAUGAAUUACAUAAAAUAUCAUCCAUCAAUUAAAAAGUUUAAAUCAAUUGAAAUGAUGAAAUUAACCUUGUAUAUAUUAUUUUAUAAAAACAAUUAAACAACAAUGUGAACCUUCUUUUAGACUGGCUAUAACAAACUCAUUUAAUUCAAGGUUAAACCUUAUUUUAAUUGUCUUCCAUGCAACGGAUCUAGGGUUGGUGACUAAAAUAACCAUAAUAUUGCUUUGCUUUCUUCUCUUCUCUUUGAGCUUCUCCUUCCCAUUCUCUUCUUUUUUUCGCCUUCAUCAACUCCCCUUUCACUUGCCUCCAAUUCUUAUAAUUCCAAUUCCAUGGAUUUCAAUUCCAUUAAUUUCCCAUGAAAUUCUUUUACAAAGUAUUUAUCAUUAUUUUUUCUCUCAAGAAAUCAUCAAUUCACUUUAAUUUCUCUCGAAUCCUACAUCCAAGAAACAUAAAAGAACCCAAUUAUGAGAAUCAGAUACUGAGUCGACCCAUAAAGACAAAGACAAAGGCCAUAAACUCACAAAUUAACUCAAUCAGUUGAACUAAGUUUCUUUUCAUCUUGACCCUUUCAAAACCACCUGUAGACUAAGCUAUUCAAUGUUUGAAUGAUUGUUUGGCUUACUUGAACUAUUACGAGAGUGUCAUCACCUAAAUGGAACAUUGAUAAAUCUCUUAGCGGAGCUCAGGCUAGGCAUAAUUUUAUAUUGGCCGUCAGGUCAAAUUACAUUAAAAUAAUUGAUAGAUUUGGGGUUAGUAAAUGAGUGACUCAGUUUUAUACCAAUCAACUGCGUUUUAUUUUAAGCAACAUUUUUUUGCUUUUAGGUCGAGUUUCCUUUUUCUACCGAGCUUGAAUUUGUGUCCAAUGAUAUUGAGGCUUUUAUUGAAUUUCUAAUUUAUUAUGGUAUAAUAGAUCGUUCAGAAUCAAAAUACUCUCUUCAAAAUUAAAAAUUUAGCUAGAUAAUGUGUGGUUUUUUUUUUUUUUUGCAUGUUUAUUUCCAACUUUUAGCCACUAUUUGGUUGUUAGGUUUUUGUUGAUUGUGAUUAAAGUUGGUUUUGAUUUUGAAAUAAUUUUAGCUUAUGUUGUCCAUGGAAGGACAACAAUAAUGAAGCAUGAAAGUGAAUAAAACCUAAAUUUCCAAAAGGUUUAUGGUUUGUUUGGGCCCCAAGAGUUGCAUUGUGAAUUUUAUGGAAUGGAAGUGCUUAAUAAUAAUUUGGCAAAAUAAAAAUGAAUUGAUUAGAUUUUGUAGGCAAGCUAAUGUAAUCUCCACAUAUUUUUCUUAUAAUGGCUAUUGAGUAGUUAAAGAAUUUAUGACAGUAACUUUUAGUGAUAUUUUUAUUCAUUUGAUACAUUACGGAUUCUCUAGUUAUUAAUUAAAAUAUAAUAGUAAACUUGUAAAUACUUAAUUUUUUUUGUUGAUUUUUUCUUAAUGCCAUAUAAAGUAUAGUGAACUUAUAAAGUUCACAAAGUUUUCUAUAAUUUUCAAAAAAAUAAAGGCAUAAUAUAAAAUUGAGUAAACUUCUGGAUGAUUAGGUGAUUUCUCUUUUUUAAAUAAAAUAACAUCAAAUUGAAAAUUUUUAAUUAUUGUUUUAGUUUUUUAUAUUUUCAUAUUAAAAACUUAAUAUUAUUUGAAAUGUCAUCAAUUAAUGAUUUUACCCAUAGUUAUUAAACCUGGAGCGGUGCGUUUGGUUGACUUGGGACCCGGUCGACCUGGUAGCUAGACCGAUUCGGGUAAGUUAAAAGACCAGACUAAGCAAAACCUGGCAAAACCAGGUAGAGAUCCUUUUUUUUUUUCAAAUGUGUUUUUUCAUCUAACCAAAGACCUCUUUUUUAUAUACAUUUUUAGUUGGAUAUUAACCCUUUUCAAAGUUCACUAUAUAAAUAUUAGAAAGAUUUUUUUAUUUUAUUAAUGUUGGAUUUAAAGCCCUUUAAUAUAUAUACUUUAUGUUCACAAGAAAAAAUUAUUUUUCAAUGUGGGGUAAAAAAAACCUUUUGAAGUGAUCUUUUAAACCUUAUUAUUUAUAACAUGUAUAACCUAUAUUUAUAUCGAUUGUUUUUUAAUUAUUUCAUAUGAAAUAUUAAAACUUCAAAUAUUUUUUUUUCAUUUUUCCGGGUUGACCUGAGUCGACCCGCGUAACUCGGGUCAACCCGCUUAACCCAGGACUAGGAUCCAUGGUCAGGUCAAUUUUCGAGUUAAGUUUUGUAACUAUGAUUUUACCUCUUCAGUAAUAUUUUAAAAAUAAUUUUCAAAUGCAAUGUAAUCAUAUUAUCAAAAGGAAAAUAAAUGUAUAAUUGAAAUAGUGACCUUAUAAUUCAGACGAAAAAAAGGUUAAAUCUAGUAAUUAUUUAAAUUGUUUAAAUAUUAUUCAAACUGUACUACCACCACUUAUUCUAUACAACUAGGAUGAUUUAAAACAUUUGUAAAACCACUCUUGUAUUGGCAUACAUUUAUGUUCAUAGAGAUGAACUUAGAAUUUGUUGACAGAAAAGAUCAAAAUGCACAGCCUUGUUGUCGGGUGGCUAUUACAUAAAAAUAACUUCAAAAAUAAUAUAAGUUCAAGGAUGAUUUUGUAAACAUCUCAAACUUUGAGGGCCAGUGCCACCCUUAGCCGCCCCCUAGAUUUAAGAUUUAUCUCUCCACGUGCAAGUGUUUAUUAGGCCUUUUGGCACAUUAUAUAACAUGCAUUUUAUAGGAUGUCUUGGUAUGACAUCUGAUGUCUCAUUAUUUCAACAUCAAAUGUACAAUGUUAAUUUUAACUUUUUUCUCUUUUUAAUUAAUUUAAUUAAAUACCUAAUCUUUAAAUUAACAGUGUCAACUAAAUUGAAUCUCGUAUCUUCAGUGAAAUCCACUACGGCGAAUCAAAAUGCAAAAAGGAAAAAGAAAAAGAAAAAAAAAAGAGGUUUAAAUUUGGCUGCUUUCGUUCUUACUACGCUUAUGCAUGCAGAGUUCUUUCGUAAGCAAAUAAUAAAACUGAAAACAACACAAGGAGGUUUAUGGAGACAGCUACCUGCUGACAUGCUUGUUUGCUGCGGUUACUCUUGAUGCUUCGAAGGAAGUGAUAAUUUUAGACUUUAUUUUGAUUUCUCUUCCUCCUAAAUAUCUCUAUCUUUGUUGACCUGUAGCGGGUGCGGUAUAAUAUAUCUCCUAAAUAAACUUUUUUUGUAAGUGGCCUAAACUGGAUGGGAUUUGCAUUUCAAUCUACCAUUUUCAUAAAGCGUAGUUGGUCAAACAUUUGUAAUCGGUCGCUGCAACAAAGAUCCGUGACUCGUUAGAAGUCCGAAAUAUCUUCCUAUUGAUGCACCGACGGCUUUCAAACGUGGCAUGUUCCUAGCUAGCAUAACAUAAAGAAGGAGAAGCAAAAUCUACACAAGUAUUAUUUGUAUUUUAUAUAUAUGAUUGAAAACAUAUUUUGCUACUGAAAUUACAUUGAUUCAAGUAUCCAUGUUAACAUCCAUGGCAAUAAUACAAAAAACAGGAACUACAGAAGCGUUCUACACGAGACAUACUCGGUGUAGGCCAACGCAACCAAACCCAACAUGGCAAAUCUACCGUUCCACAUCUCUGCAUCAGAUGUCAUGACGCCCUCUGACCUGGAUUCCGCGCUUACCCCUUUGAAUAGUGGGAUCAAAGACGCGACAGAGAGCAGAAUACUUGUUCCGACGAACCACGAGACUCCACCGUUAGAUAUCUGAGAGAAAAGGUCUUGGCCCUUGGACAGUUCCACUGCCAUUGCAGCGACAAAGCCUAUCAUGGCAAGCCUGCCAUUGAUCCUCUCUGGUGCGGGUCCGCUAAAUGCGAACAAAUCAAGGAAGUUUGUGCUAACCUGUUAAUCACAGUCAUACGGGCGUUUACAUUAGAAGUGGAAGCAUAAAUGCAAUCACAAAGUCCUUACUCUACUUAAAUGGUUCAAACUAAACAUUUCCGAAACAAAUCGUGCCGUAUAAUUAAUCCUGUACCUUUGGCUUAGGAGUAGAACCUGACUCUGCUAUCUUCUUGAUCUGGUCAUCCUGCAAAUUGAAUCAAAUGUUAACACAAUCCUAAGAACCAUCACCCAAAGUAUACACAGAGGAAGUCGAAAUAGAUUCCAAACUCACCAGCUUGGCCUUGCACUGCACCCGUUUGCUAGCACUGCCACGUAGUCGUGGCACAUACGUAGCAGAAAACAAGUUGCUCACUCGAGACCGGUUUUUCAGCAGACUACUGGCUACUGGAGUUGCAAGGACGGUCUGCAUGACAGUUGAUGUGGCCAUCACUUAGAACAAUGUUUAUCUGUGAAAGCUAUUCUAAUGCUAGAGGCAACGUUCGUAAGGGAUAUCAUACCAGUGAGUUGAAGCUCGAGCUAUUUGCUUUGUAAUGAUAAUUAAUGUAUCUGACAAAGGUCUGGUAGGCUGUUAUAUAGCCGAUGGGGCAAGCGAGGAGAGGGCAUUUUGCUUCCACGUCAUCUAUAUCUAAUUAAAAAGCUGAUUGGAUCACGUGGGUUCGGUUGUCCUCACAUGGUCAAUUGGGUUACGUGGCCUCCUCACAGUCACUAGUGGAUCCCCACCCCGUUUAAGAACCUGAGGCCAAUGUUGUUCUAGGUUUUCCAGCUGAGCAGCGACCACGGCAUAGUAAUCGAACUGGGCUCAGCCACGAUUUUACCGCAUUAAUUUUACACGUUCCAAAUAACACAGUUAAAUGGAAUAUAUAAUUUGUCGACAUGAUUCUUCUCUAAUGAUAUUUUAGAAGGUGAUUGAUGAUAGUUUUUGUCUUUUCACUCCUACUUCUUAUCCUAAUCUUUUCUUUGUCAACUGAGCUAAUUUCAUUCUCAUAUUUUUAUCUUUGUCUCUUUCAAUAUAUUGAAAAGUUUUUCUUUUUCUCCUCAAUUAUCUAAUAUAUUACAAAGCUUUUCUUUUCUUCUAGUUGCCUAUUAAUUUCUCACAAAAACAUUUAAAGGCAUCUUCGGAUAUUUGCUGGGAUGACACAACAUCAUUCCAAUAUCCUUUCGAAUACAAGCUAAAUAAUAUUUGAAAUGGUAAAUAUCUCAACUGAAAAUUUUCAAAUAAUAAUUGCAUUGAACUUUUCUUGAAUUCUUAUUAAUAUCUAUAUCAUGUUGCCAUCUUACAUCAAGUCUAUUGCCAUUAAUAGUUUUUUUAGAUGCCUUGUAUCUUACAAUUCAAGAAUCAAUUCAAAUCAAUUCUAAAAUUAAAAUCUCAAACAUUUACUUUUACUUCACAUUGCAACUCAAUAAGAAACUUGAUAAAAAGCAUGUGCAACCCUCAAUUUCUUUAUUAUUUUUACUUUGAUUCCUCUAUUUUUUGGAUAGAUCAACUCAUUUACUUUACUAUUUACAAGAAAUGAGUCCUUUUCAAUUUUAACAGGUCAUUUAAUAUUAAUUACUCUAUUAUUUAAUGUUAAUUUACAACUUGUAUUUUAUAGAUUUGUCAGUUAAAACAGAGAAAUACCAAAUUUUUAUUCACAUAUUUCUCCAAGUAUUUGAAUUGAUUAUAGAUUUAUUUCCCAUUGAAACUUUAAAGAGAGAAAAAAAAUUAGAGAACACAAAAGAAUGCAUCUUAUGUUUAAUCAAAACACAAAACUCAAUAGAGCAAGAACAAAGAGAGAAGUGACAUUAACAUUUAAAAUAAAUAAAUAAAUAAAUAUUUUGAUUGUUAUUUUGAAGGCAUUUCAUUGUCGUUGCAAGGGAGAACCCGAUUUCUUCAGAAGGCUACAAGAUAGCAUCUUUAUAAUGAUGCAUUAAAGAAAAUUAUUCAAUUAUUAAUUAAUUAUAUGUUUCAAAUUUAAGAUGAUAACUUUGAAUCUAAUUACAUUUUUAUGUGACCUUCUACCUAAUUUCUUUCCCCUUAUGGAUUCUAAAUAUAAGACAAGCCUAGACUAUUCGUUGUAAUCAAUUGACCACUUCACAAAGUUACGACAAAAUCCAAAACAAUUUAUGCUUUCUAUUGUUUUAGUUUUUUUAUAUUUUCAUAUUAAAAAACUUAUUAUUAUUUGAAAUGUCAUCAAUGGAUGAUUUUACUCAAUAAUAUUUUUAAAAUAAUUUUUAAAUGCAAUGUAAUCACAUUAUCAAAAGGAAGAUAAAUGUGUAAUUGGGAUAAUGAACUUAUAAUUCAGAUGAAAAAUUGUUAUAUCUAGUAAUUAUUUAAAUUGUUUAAAUAUUUUUAAACAUUAUUACUUCAGGAUGAUCAGGGUGAUUUCCCCCUUUUUAAAUCAAAUAACAACAAAUUGAAAAUUUUUAAUUAUUGCUUUAGUUUUUUCUAUAUUUUCAUAUUAAAAAACUUAAUAUUAUUUGAAAUGUCAUCAAUUGAUGAUUUUACGUCUUCAAUUAUAUUUUAAAAAUAAUUUUUAAAUGCAAUGUAGUCACAUUAUCAAAAGGAAGAUAAAUGAGUAAUUGGGAUAAUGAACUUAUAAGUCAGAUGAAAAUUUGUUAUAUCUAAUAAUUAUUUAAAUUGGUUGGAUGAUUUAAAAAAUUUGUAAAACCAUUGUUGUAUUGGCAUAUAAUUAUGUUCAUAGAGACAAAUUUAGAAUUUGUUAAUAAAAAAAACCAAAAUGCAUAGUCUUGUUGUCGGGUGGCUAUUACAUAAAAAUAACUUUAAAAAUAAAGUACAUUCAAGGAUGAUUUUGUAAACAUCUCAAACUUUGAGGAGCCAGUGCCACCCUUAGCCUCCCUCUAGAAUCAUCUCUACAUGUGCAAGUGUUUGUUAGGCCUUUUGGUACAUUAUAUAACAUGUAUUUUAUAGGAUGCCUUGGUAUAAUUGCUUUUAUCCUUGCCCUGUGAUUAUCAUUUGGAAACCUGAAAACCAUUGCUAUAUUGGUAUGCUAUCUAUUUUGAUUCUAGCCAAAUAAAUGAAUUUUUUUUCUUGUAGAUACCCUUUUCUUGGUAGAAUAUUACAUUUGCUGCCUCAUUAUUUCAUCAUCAAAUGCAAUAUCAAUUUUAACUUUUUUCUCUUUUUAACUAAUUUGAUUAAGUCUCUAGUCUUUAGAUUAUAUAAUGUCAACAAAAUUGAAUGUCAUAUCUCGCUAAACAACAUUGAAUCAUGAUUGCCAAAUUCUUUCAAAAAACAACAUGUUUUAUGAUCCAAAUCACCCAUUAUAGAUUAUGGUAUAUUUAUGUAUCGAAUCGUUGUAUGAUAUAGGGUCGGGAUCUAGAAAGACAAUGAUCCAUAUCACCCAUUAUAGAUUAUGAUAUAUUUAUGUAUUGAAUCGUUGUGAUAUGAAACCUGGAUCUAGAAAGACAAUGACCCAUAUUUUUCAAAAUAAGAAAACAAGUGAAAAAAAAAUUAAAAAAGAAAAUAGUAGUGGUAGUAUUAAACAUUAAAUAUCGAGAAUGAUACAAAACACAAAAUUAAGUGAUGGUGAUAGCUAAAAGUUAGACCCCGUUUGGGAACACGGUGCAAACCGUGUUUCCUUAAAUUUUAAAUUUUUUAUUUUGUCUAAAAUGAUUUUUUAUAUAUAUUUUUAAAUUAUUUGAUGUACUAAUGUCAAAAAUAAUUUUUAAAAAUAAAAAACUUUAUUUAAAUGCAUUUCUAAACGAAAAGUACUUUGAACCGUCAUCACUAUCAUAAUCUCAAAUAUACCCUUAAAGAGUUAAGGCAGUAUACUAAUGUUAGAAAAGAAAGCUAGACAAUAUACUAAGUUAGAGACUUGCUAUGUUGAAAUUUAAUGUUGGGCUAUAUGUUUUCUAGACCAAUACAUUAUAAUUAUAUCUACUUCAUGUUUUAAAAAUUUAGGUAACAUGCUCUUUUUAGUGGUGUCACACCUGGAUAUCGCGACGACCGAUUAAAAAUCAUCACUCGAUUGAAAUAAAAAACACAUAUCAAGCAUUUUGUUCUUUUUAGGGAAAAAAGUCUUGUUCUAGAAGAUACCACCUAGUAUUAUAGUCAUUAGGAACCCUAACUGGUCAACAAAGAUUCUAUAGUACGGGACUGGUUACCAAAAAAAAAAAGACGUUAUCACCCCUUAAGAGUCUUAUCUGAAGCAAGUUGUAUUGCUGAUUUUGUUUAAAAUUGCUAAGAGUUUGUUCUCUUUUUCCUCUUUUAUUCUUCCUUUCAUGUUCCUGACCCUGACGUCAGUGAAUAAUUCCUACGAACAUUUUCAACUCUGGUGUUGGUAAAUAUCGUGCAAAUCCAAAAAAUACGAUACUCCUGACUCUAGCGUCAAUAAAUAAUUUCGCAAAAAAUGAACUUGAAGAAGAAAUUUUCUAUGUCAUUUUUUUCUUAUUUAUCCUUUACUAUUAUCCACCCUUUUUAGAUGAAAAAAAAAAUUGCGCGACAUAUUUGCAUUUAACAAUAAUAAUCCACAGAUUGAGCACAUAGCUAAAAAAAUACAAAUACAAAGGAAAACAAAUAAAACAAAGUGUGAGGGGCCCACAAAUAAAUCAACGAAGACCUCCAAAUAUUUUUGAAAUUUUAUGUUUCAUUUGGCCAAAUAUCAAAUUAGAAUGGGUAUAAAAAUUAUGGUCAAGGCAUAAGAGUGUGUUUGGCAAAACAUACCCUUAACAAAUACAAUUUGGGCCAGCUGGGCCACAAGCCCAGACCCGGCCAACUUUUCCUUUUUAACUUUUUUUUGGGCUGGGUCUAGCCCAACCAUCGAGGCUGAUCUAAACCCAGCGGCCCGGCCCAGUUACUGGUUCAGACCAGUAACCCGACUGGUUUAAUCCUUAGCUGCAAGCGUGCGAGGGCUAUUCACGCCUCACGCACGCUACAGAUCCUAGGUAAUUAAAUAGCAAAAUGAACAGUCUUAUGAAUUAAAAUGAUAGCGGGGAAAGACAGAAGACUUACCUGGUUUGCAGAGAAUUCGCGUGAGAUUGCAGAUGCUGGACGAAGCUCCCGUCUUCAAGUUCUCUCCCGUUUCUUGUUCUUUCCUGCUCUCACUCUCUCGUCUCUUCUGUUUCUCUUUUGUUUUUGUUUUUUUUCCUCUUCUGGAUACUCUCCUUUUCUUUUCUUCCCCCUGUUCUCUCCCGUUUUUCUCCCACUGUUUUCUGCGUUUUUUCAUCUCUGUUUCCCUCCUCCCCUUCUGGCUUCUCCUUUCCCCUUUUUAUAGAGCCAGACCAUGAGAGGGAUUCUUAUCCUUAUCUUCUCUAGGAUCGUCAUCCUGUGUAGAGUGAAUCGGCUCGGUGUUCGGAUGGAACGGAAACACCAACAGUCCUGCCAUUGUUGGACUGUUGGUGGUGCUUAUCCUUGCGUCAGGGGAGAAUUUUGAGGGUGAGGGAGACCAAAACAAACCCUACGGGUUCCGUGGGUAGCUAAUGCAACCUUGAACUUAGCUUGUGUGCGGCGAUUUUUUCUUUGCAGGGGGUGCUCUCUGUUUCCAAAGGAAGAAUGUUCUCUAUUUCCAAAGGAAGAAGACAGUGAACAACAAUGACGAACGACAUCGUUUUGGACUGGAAAUGGCCAUUUCUCAACUUGGUCCUCCAAGUUUCAACAUUUUUUAAUCGGGCCCUGGAUAAAAUUUCGGUGCCUUUUACAAAAAGGUCCCUGGAACUUAAUCACUUGUAAUUUUAUCCUUAAUAAACUCAGAAAUUUAAUAUUUGUUCAACUAUAUCCCUGGUUUCAUUAAUUAAACUAAUUCUAAGCUUAAUUAAGUCCUCAAACUUAUCUAUUCUUUAAUCAAACUCCUGAUAUCAUUAAUUAAACCCAAACAAAGUUUUAUUGAACUCCAUACCAGCUAAUUUUUUUAAUUUCUUUAAAAAUUAACAUCCAAAAUCAUAAAUUAAACAUGAUUAAACCCAUCAGAGCUUUUCAUUUAUGUUGUCUUGAUCAAAAUCUUAAUUUUUCAUUCAUUUUUUUAUUUUGAAUUUUAUAUUGUUUAAAAUUGAGUUAUAAUAAGUGGACCGAGCUUUUUGGUCUCAAAUCCAUAAAUUUGUUACCAAUUGACCUACCUCAUUUGGCAAGUGUGAGAUCUAUCUUCAGUGAAAUCUACUAGGUGAAUCAAAAUCCAUAAAAAAGAAGAAAAAAAAACAGAGAAAGAGUGAUAAAACUAACUACCACACCAAACAAAUAAAGAGGUUAUGCAGGCAGUCUUUCCUAAUCAAAUAAUAAAACUGAAAACAACACAAGGAGGUUUGUGGAGACAGCUACCUGCUGAUAUGCUUGUUUGCUUGCGUGUCUGGUUUUGUAAUUACACUGUUAUGAGCAGUUAACUCCUCUUUGGUGGCUUCGAAGGAAUUGAUAAUUUUAGACUUUAUUUUGAUUUAUCAUCCUCCUACAUAUUUCUCUCUUUGUUGGCUUCGAAGAAAGAGUUCAGCUUGGCCUGUAGCGGGUGCGGUAUAAUAUAUCCUCCUAAAUAAACUCUUUUUUUUUUUUUUUAAAGCGAUUUAAAUGGCCUAAACUGGAUGGGUAUUGGAUUUCAAUCUACAUUUUCAUAAAGCGUAGUUGGUCAAACAUUUGUAAUCGGUCGCUGCAAGAAAGACCCGUGAUUCGUUAAAAGUCCGAAAUAUCUUCCUAUUGAUGCACCGACGGCUUUCAAACUUGGCAUGUUCCUAGCUAGCAUAACAUAAAGAAGGAGAAGCAAAAUCUACACAAGUAUCAUUUGUAACUUGUAUAAAUGAUUGAAAAUUGAUCUUACAUAUUUCGCUACUGAAAUUACAUUAAUUCAAGUAUCCAUGUUAACAUCUAUGGCUUGAAUAAUACACAAAACAGAAACUACAGAAGGGUUCCACCCGAGACAUACUCGGUGCAGGCCAACGCAACCAAACCCAACAUCGCAAAUCUACCGUUCCACAUCUCAGCAUCAGAUGUCAUUACGCCAUCUGACUUGGACUCCGCGCUGACCCCUUUGAAUAGUGGGAUCAAAGACGCGACAGAGAGAAGAAUACUUGUUCCGACGAACCACGAGACUCCACCGUUAGAUAUCUGAGAGAAAAGGUCUUGGCCCUUGGACAGUUCCACUGCCAUUGCAGCGACAAAGCCUAUCAUGGCAAGCCUGCCAUUGAUCCUCUCUGGUGCGGGUCCGCUAAAUGCCAACACAUCAGUGAAUUUUGUGCUGACCUGUUAAUCAUCAUCACGCGUGCGUUUACAUUAGAAGUGUAAGCAUAAAUGCAAUAAAAAAGUCCAUGCUCUACUUAAAUUGUUAAAAUUAAACAUUUCCGAAAUAACUCAUGCCGUAUAAUUAAUCCUGUACCUUUGGCUUAGGAGGAGGACUUGGCUCUGCUGACAUAUUCUGGUCAUCCUGCAAAUUGAAUCAAAUGUUAACACAAUCCUAUGAACCAUCACCUAAACUACACACAAAGGAAGUCGAAAUAGAAUCCAAACUCACCAGCUCGGCCUUGCACUGCACCCGUUUGCUAGCACUGCCACGUAGUGGCACAUACGUAGCAGAAAACAAGUUGCUCACUCGAGACCGGUUUUUCACCAGACUACUGGCUACUGGAGAAGCAAGGACGGUCUGCAUUACUGUUGACGUGGCCAUCACUUAGAACAAUGUUUAUCACUCGAUAUGUGAUUAAGAAACUUAAUCAAUAUCUAAACUGUGAAAGCUAUUCUAAUGCUAGAGGCAACGUUCAGUAAGCGAUAUCACUACCAGUGAGUUGAAGCUCGAGCUAUUUGCUUUGUAUCUGAUAGUGGUUUGGUAGGCUGUUAUAUAGCCGAUGGGGCAAGAGAGGAGAGGGCAUUUUGCUUCCACGUCAUCCAUAUCUAAUGAAAAGGCCGAUUGGAUCACGUGGCUUCGGCUGUCUUCACAUGGUCAAGUGGGUUACGUGGACUCCUCACAGUCACUAGUGGAUCCCCACCCCAUUUAAGAAGCUGAGGCCAAUGUUGUUCUAGGUUUUUCAGCUGAGCAGCGACCACGGCAUAGUAACCGAACUGGACUCAGCCACGAUUUUACCGCAUUAAUUUGACACGUUGAAUCACAUAACCUGACAAACGAAUAUUAGUAUAUACUAAAAAACUUUUGAUGUUUUCUCCAGGGAGGUAUUCUUAUAAAUUUUAUAAUUACUAAAACUUAUUUGAUUAUUAAUUUUAGUGUUUUAAAAGAUUGUUGAAGAUGCAUGUAAACUGACGGGACAUUGAUGAUUAUCAAGAUAAAAAAUUUAUGAUGCUUAUGAGUUUUUUCUUCUUUUUAUAUUUGUAUUUUAUGUAAUAAAUACUCCAUAAUUAAAUUUUUUAGUUUUAUAAAAUUUUAAGCAAAAGUAAGUGUGUGAUUUAUAGAACAAUGCAAAUAUUUUAUGUAAAAGUAUUUAUUAAAGAGAAAAUUAUCCAAAGUAUCAUAUAGUUUACUUAAUUUUACAUUUUGCUUUAAUUAUUUUAUGAAUUACUGAAAUUAUUCUUGAUCAACCAAAAAUUUUAAAUCGUUUGAAAUGAUCAAAUUAACCUCUUUGUGUUGUAAUCUCUUGAAAAUUUGUUUCUUGUUGUGUGCUAUUAUAACUAUGGUAAAAAGAUGUCGUAGAUCAAGACAUGGUCAAAGGAGUAAGGAGGAUCCUUCUUAGGAGAGAAACAUCGAGAAGCUUGUCAUAAAGGACAUUCAAAGGUAAACACAAAGUUGACUCAUGGGUUAGAGGAUAAGGAUUUAUAAAACCAAAAUUAAAAGAGUGAUCAUGUGUCCCUAGCCAAUACUGAAAACCAAAGACAUGAUCAUGAAAUAUAACCUCUUGAUUAGGAAGAGAUCAACUUUAGGAAUUUUUGGUUUCGCGUUAAAAUCCAUGAAUUCGGAGAAACUUUAUAAGUAAAGGAUUUCAUAGAAUAGAUAAAUAGGGUAAAAUGAAUUUUUUAGUAUAAAGAGGUUCUCGAAUAUAUGUGAGGGAAGUGUUGAUUGUGAUUAGAAUAAAAGGUAGAGUUUCUACUUAGUGAGAUCAGUUAAAAGGGAAAAGAGAGAGACAAGAAAAGCUGAGAAUAAUGAUUUAGAAAAGAUGAAGAAGAAACUAAGAGAACACUUUCUUCCAUUUGGCUAUGCCCAAACCCUGUACUUAAGGUUUCACAUGUUAAAAUAAAUAGACAUUAGGUCAUGGUUUUGGUUUUGUUUUCGGGAUUUGUUGUUAUAGUUGUGGUGAGUUAAGGUAUCAAGCUAGCUAAUGAGAAUGCAUUAAAAAACUAGAAAGUUACAUAGGAAAAAAUAUGUUGAUAGAGGAACUUGCAAAUAACAUGGAUGAUCUUAUUUAAAAUAACUCUGACAACAAUGAAGAGACUUUAAAUGGGAAUAGUAGUACUAUACUAGUUGUCUGAAAAAUCAUUUUGUCACCCGAUGGUGAUUAAGGAUAGAAUUGGUUGUGUUCUAAAAUCUUCCAAAUAAUAUGUACUGUUAACAACAAGAUAUGCAAUCUAAUCAUCGUCGGUGGUAGUUAUGAGAAUAUAGAGUUAGUUGAAGUGUUAGAAAAAUUACAGCUUAACAUAGAAAAACUCUUCAUCCCUUACAAACUAAUGUCGCGCCCCCCCCCCCAAAAAAAAUAUUCAAAUACACAUCCAUUGCGGGUUCGACUGGCGAAAAUUUGUUUAUUUUUAUUUUUAUUUGAUUCUUUGGAGUCGCCACCUAGUAUUUUGGUCACUAGGAACCUAACUGGUCUCAGAGAUCGGGUACGGAGACUGGUUGCGUAAAGGGAAGGUAUUAGCACCCCAAAUACGCCUUACCUAAGGUAAGCUGCAUUGUUUUAAAUGUCUGAUAAAAAAAAAACUAAAGUGUUAUUGUGUUUUUCUAGUUGUUGGUCUGUCUAUGGUUCAAGAAAAAUCCCCCUCAGUAAGGAGGUCUUUAUCUUAUCGGGUAAAAAUCCUAACCGUUCUAACGUCCAUACCAAAAUUUUACUAAUAAUAUUUAGGAAUACGUUUUACGUAUAAAUUCGUAAUCCCAAAUAUUAAAAGAAAACAAAAAGAAUGUUUUAGAAUUUUUGAAAUAUUGGCCUAGUUCUCAUGGCUUGAAUAAAUUGGUUAUUAAAGCCAAAAUGCAUGUUAAUACAUAUAUUGUUUUUUUGAAAAAAAAAAAUAAUUUGUUGUAUGAAAAUAUGAUGUUAUAAUAUUUAUGUAUAUAUAUUGGAGAGACUAGGCCGUAUUUAAAAACAAAAACAAUUUUUGAAAAAUAUUAUUUUGUUAUGCUUUGACGAAAAUCAUAAUGGGUAUAUUUUAAAAAUACUGAGCUUGUAUCCUUACGGUAUAAAAAUACAACCCAAUAUUAAUCUAUUUUGAUAAAAUAUGCAGAAAAAUCAACAACAGUUUUUAGGAAAUUUUUAGAAAAUUUUUUGAAAAGCAAAACAUUUUUUAUUCUGAAAAUCUUUGAUGUUUUGACGAAAAAACCGGGUAUUUUAAUACUGGUUUUGUAUCUUUACAAAAAAAAAUACAAACCAGAAGUAAAACAUUUUUGAAAAAAUAUGCAGAAAAAAUCAACAAUAUUUUUUUUUAGAUUUUUUUUUUUUUGUUUUUUAUACAUUAAAUACAUUUUUUAUAUAUUAUAUUAUAUAUUUUAUAUAUUAAAAGGGCUGGGCCGGCCCAAACUAAACUGGGCCGGACCCAGCCCAACAGUCGUUGGGCCGAACUCGGCCCAACAGGUACUGGGCCGAACUCGGCCCAGGUACUGGGAACUCGGCCCAAAUAAUUAACCUCGGUCUGGGCCGGACCCGGCCCAGACCGCCGGACUGGGCCAGAUCUCUCUGGCCCGGUCCACAUAGUUCUGGGCCAGACAAAGUCUGGCCCAGAGGAAAUAAAAAACGCAGCGGGGGGGAUUAUUUCCCCCCCGUCCCCAAGAACGAUGCAGGAAGAAAAAAAAAAAAAAAAAUGUGCAGGGGGAGGGACGCGUACCUGGCACGGCGGAGACGGCGGCUUGCUGGCGGUGCUGCUGCGGAGACGGUGGCAGCUUGGCUUACGGACGGCGGGUCAGGCGGUUUUCUCUCUCUCUCCUCCCUUCGGGUCUCUCUCUCUCUUUUUCUUCUUCUCUCCUCUCGGCCUCUCUCUAUUUAUAAGCAAAAAGGAAACGGUUAGUGCGCCUUCAAUCACGCAACGGCUGGUCGGCCACUCUUGCUUUCGGUGGUGGUGGUGGGGCGAGGAGAGAGAGAGAGGCGGGAAGUUUUGAAAAAAAGAAAAAAUGGUUUCGUCUCUGUUUCCGCGGGGGGAAAGGAAGAAGACGAACAGUGUCGUUCAAAACGACACCGUUCUGUCUUCUUCUUUUUUUUUUUUUUUUUAUUAUAUAUAUAUAUGAAACGGCGUCGUUUUGGAUAAAACGCGCCGUUUCAUUUAAACGGGUCAAACUUCAAAACAGUCCUCCAAAUCGGUCCCUGCCCCUCUUGUUGGCCGCCUUUUUCAUUUUGGUCCUUGGCAUCUGAUUUAUGCAAUUUAGCCCUCAAUUGAUUAAUAAACUUUCAAUUUCUUCAAUUAGGCCCCUGAAACGAAAAAUUAGCAGCCCCUCCAUUUACGCGCCUCUUCCAAUUUGGUCCCUGGUUUCGGAUUUUCACAAUUAAGUCCCUAAUUGGCCCUUAAACUUCAAUUUUUAUGCAAUUGAGCCCUGAUUUGACCCAAUAAAUUCCUAAAAAAAUAUUUUGGCCCCAGAACUUAAAUUUCUCCAAAUUAAAGCCCAAAUUGACUUAAAAAUUAAUUUUUCUUGCAAUCAAAUCUUCUAUAAAUUCAAAUAAAAAUCCGAUUAAGUCCAUAAAAAUCCAAUUAAGCCCAUAAAAAUCCAAUUAAGCCCAUAAAAAUCCAAAUUUGGGCUUUUCUCCCUAAAAUUCCAAUUUUUCUUCUCAAUAGGGCUUUCAUCCUUCAAGAAUAUACUGUCAAAAAUUCAAUCCUUGUAUUUUUAAAGUCCUUGACCAAUUUUCUGACUGUUUUCCGGGCGCUUCUGCCUCCGGUUAUUUUUCUAACCUCUUUUGGCUAUUUAUUUUAUUUUUUAGGGGGACCCAAAAAUGGGUUACAACAACUAAAAUAGCUAAAUGAAAACAACAAGGUUGUCGCACGUCACCCUCGCGCGGCUUCCGAUGGCGAUUUUUCUCGUUAUGCGUUUUUGCUUGAUUCAGUUCUUUAGAGUCGUCACCUAGUAUUUUGGUCACUAGGAACCCUAACUGGUCUUUCAGAGAUUCUAAGGCAAGGAACUGGUUGCGUAAAGAGAAGGUAUUAGCAUCCCUAAUACGCUCUACCUAAGGUAAGCUGCAUGGUGUUUGGUUUAUCUUAUAAUUGCUAUGGUGUUGGUGUUUUCUAAUCCCAUCAGUUUUUCUAUGAUAGGUUUCCUAUGAUGAACAAACUUGGACUCAAAGUCUAAAAAAAAAAAGAACCCUUGGUCAAUGUGGAUCACACCUUUAGAUAUGUCUACAAAGUACCAAGGAGAACCAAUGCAGAUCUCUUGAAAUCUGUGUUUGAUUCAAGUUAAAUUUAUUAAGAUAGAAAUCCAAGGAGAUUUCAUGUGCUGUAAAAGCUCAUCUUUCCCUUAGUAUUUCAAGAGUUUGCGACUCGUAAAUCGCAAGAAUGAAGGACAAAUAUUUAGAAAUCUAAGGAAAUUCAAAGCGCUUUAAAAGCCUCCUUUUGCCUUAGUAUUUCAUACUUUCACGGCUCGUAAACCGUGGAGUCAAAAUUUAAAAUUUUGAAAUGUCCUCAAUUAUAAUCAAGGCUUCUCUCAAAGAUGUAUGCGGAUUUAUUACUCCCAAUAAUAUUUUGGAUAUUCAUCAUUUAAAGAUUUCUUUAUCCAAAUAUUAGCGGUGAAUAAUAAAUGAAUUCCCUCCAAAAUAAGAUUUUUAUAGUUUUUGGAAUAUUGGCCAAUACCCUUUGGAGUUUUACAAACAUGUUGUAAAAUCCAGAAAUACAAGAAAACAAAUUUUUUGAUGUUUAAGAAAUCCAUGCAAAAACACAUUCUUAAAACUUCCAAUAUUUUUUGUAUAUAAAAAAAUAUUCAAAACAUGUUAGGAUAUUGGCCGUAUGCAACAAAAAAAAAAACAUUUUUUAUAUUUUCUUUGCAAAAUACACAUAGUUAAUCGCAAUUAAAAUCCAAAAACCACAUAUUAAUCAAAUUCUUAAGGCUUUAAUAAAUCAACUAUUAAAUCCCAGAAUAUAUAUAGAAACAUGUUUUUAUAUUUUCCCGAGAAAUACAACAUAAUUUUAUUUGUCCUUCAGAUACCAUAUGUCAAAUUAGAAACUUAAUUCAUUUUUUUGUCUUUUAUUGAUUUUUAUCAUUCAAAUAACAUAAAUAAAAAUACAAACACACACACAUUUUUUAUUAUUAUUUUUCUUAUACAUAUUUUACGUGUAAAACAAAUAACAAAAUUUCAAAAAAAUCAAAUACAAUUUAAUUAUUACCAAAUAAACCCCAAAAACUCCAGGAAUUGGUGGGAACAUCUUCUAGGAUCCGCCGGAAUAGUGACGGAAGGUUUCUGGGCUCGGGAACAGUGGCGCACGUUUCUCCACUAGCGGAUCCCAGAAAAAUAAUGUUAACAUAUAAGCUACUGAAAUUAUAAGUUAUAUAGAUGAUUGAAAAUUGAUCUUAUAUAAUUUGCUACUGAAAUUACAUUGAUUCAAGUAUCCAUGUUAACAUAUAAGCUUGAAUAAUACACAAAAACAGGAACUACAGAAGCGUUCUACCCGAGACAAACUCGGUGAAGGCCAGCGCAACCAAACCCAACAUCGCAAAUCUACCGUUCCACAUCUCAGCAUCAGAUGUCAUGACGCCCUCUGACUUGGAUUCCACGCUGACCCCUUUGAAUAGUGGGAUCAAAGACGCGACAGAGAGAAGAAUACUUGUUCCGACGAACCACGAGACUCCACCGUUAGAUAUCUGAGAGAAAAGGUCUUGGCCCUUGGACAGUUCCACUGCCAUUGCAGCGACAAAGCCUAUCAUGGCAAGCCUGCCAUUGAUCCUCUCUGGUGCGGGUCCGCUAAAUGCCAACACAUCAGCGAAUUUUGUGCUGACCUGUUAAUCAUCAUCACGCGUGCGUUUACAUUAGAAGU
This 20974-nucleotide long non-coding RNA is filed under the name Populus tremula. RNAcentral describes it as "long non-coding RNA (PTRE_LNC002805)". The record is from RNAcentral. Lineage: Eukaryota; Viridiplantae; Streptophyta; Magnoliopsida; Malpighiales; Salicaceae.